GUGAGACCCAAAAUUUAGAAUAAUUAUAUAUAUAAAUAUAAUAUGACUAAAUUUUUUAACUCGUCUAUAAUAUUUUGGAUGAUGGCUAGGUCUAAAAAGUUAAAAGAGUUAAACGUUAGGGCUAAAAUAGUCUUAGAAUGGAUGACCUUCUAGAAAAUGAGACGUCACAGUUGGUUUCAAACCUAAUUACCAGCCGGACAUAUGAAAUGAGUCUUUCGACUGAGAUAGAUUAUAUAGUGGACAGAGUUGGACUCUCUAAUUGAUAACUAUUAUCGGUGGAGCACGGUAAGACUCCAGAAUUUAAAGUAGUCAUAUAUAAGAUUGAAUAGAACUAAAUCUCUUAACUCGACUAUAAUAUUUUGAACGGUGAAUAUGUCCAAGUCUCUGGAAAGUAUAGCGUCACAAAAUUAU
This 411-nucleotide long non-coding RNA is filed under the name Ananas comosus (pineapple). RNAcentral describes it as "long non-coding RNA (ACOM_LNC041122)". The record is from RNAcentral. Lineage: Eukaryota; Viridiplantae; Streptophyta; Magnoliopsida; Poales; Bromeliaceae.